UCCGGAAGUCCGGGCGGCCGCGGUGGUGGGAGUUGUAGUUCCGCUGCGCGCCCGGGGGACCAAGCCUCGGGGCGCGAUGGCAAAGUCGAGCUGAGACAUCUUGGGCCGCUACACCCAGACGUGAUUCUCUACCCGCCUCCAGCCUGGACGUGUUUGAGGCCCGGACUCUAGGACUGCUCCAGCCCUUGGUCCGGGAUGCCCCGGCCUGGCCCUGAAGUCCCGCCCGCUGGUUUGGGGAGAACGUGGCGUCAGGUCUUCUCUCCCUCGUACUGUUUCUCGAAAAGGAGGAAAACAGCAAACCAAUGCUUAAUGAGAAAUGAAACACUUAUGAAUCUUAAAGAACAAGGAGAGAAAAAUUUGUCCGUGAACUUUGUGCUUUUUUAGACAGUAGUCAAUCUAUGUUUCAAGAGAACAGGCAAGCUACCUGAAUUAUCAUUGAAAGAAUACAGCAACAUCUACUCACUAUGACUUAAUUAAGGAAUAAUAUUGGGAGUUAGACAUUUAUUUCCUGGUGAUGUAGUGAUUUCAACUCAGAGGCUAUAGAAUGAUUCAGUUCCUGGUCAGAGGAAUGCUCAAGUUUAAAGAGUACCAUGAUAGAAUGAAAAGAACACUGAAUUGAGAGCCAGGUAAUCUGACUUGUAGUAUAUUUUACUGCUAAUGUCUGGAUGAGCUUCAGAAAUGAUUUAAGCUCACUAGACUUCUGUCUUUCAAAUGAAGGAAAUGGACUUUGAAAACCUCAGUUCAGAAAUCUAGGAGUUUUAUAUUUUGCACAUGGAAAUUAUUCUCUUUGCUUUAUAUCUGCAUACUGUACAUGUCUUGUUCAAUUUCUGCGAGUAGUAUAUUAAUAUAAAUCUAACUAUGUAUGCAUCUGCUUUAGCACUGGUAUGAAGCACCCCAAAUGGUGUAAGGCAUCUAGUUCUCAACACUGGUCGCUAGAGGAUUAAUGGUGGAUAUUCGUUCUUUCAACAAGUGUUUAUUAAACACCUGCUGUGUGCUAGCUAUGGAAAAAUAGCAUUGAACAAAACAGACAAAAUCCCUAAUCUCAUUGAGUUUACCAUCUAGUGAGGACAAUCAGACAAACAAAAUAAGUAAAAUUUAUGGGAAUUAGGUAGUGAUAAAUUCUAUAGAGAAAAACAAAACAGGUUUCAAGAAGGGAGAUGGAGGAGUAUUGGGAUGUGUAAGGUUUGCAGUUAUAACUAGAGUGGUCCAGGAAUUAUUUGUGGAGAAGUGCACGUUAAGCAGAAACCUGAAGGAGGUGAAAGGAACAAGCCAUGUGGUAUCUAAAUAAAGAAACUUCCAGGUAAAAGAAAGAGCAAUUGCAAAACCCUGGAGGUGGGAGUGGUCUGUUCAUAAAAGAGCAAAGUGGCCAGUGCAGCUGGAGCUGAGGCAGUGAGGGGGAAAGAGAUAAUGGGGAGCAGUUUCUGCAGGACACUAUUAUGAGGGCGUUGACUUUUAUUUUGAAUUGAAGCAGGAAGUCACUAGAGAGCUUUGAGGAGAGGAUCAAUUUGGCUCCUGGGUUGAGAAUAAACUCCAGAGGGCAAAGGCAAAAAGGGAGACUGGUUAGUAGCAUUUACAAUAAUCCAGGUGAGAGAUGGGAGAUCUUAGCCAGGGAGGUGGAGAUGGUGAGGGGAUGGUUGGAUUCUGGAGACUGUGAUAGUAUUAGCUGGUGAUUUGGAUGAAGGAUAUGUGCAACAGGAGUGCCAGCAAGGUACCAGGUUUUUAGCCUGAACAAUUAGCCGGUGAAGCUGCCAUUGACUGAGAUGAAGAAGACUGCAGGAAGAGCAGGUUUUGGGGGAAGACUGCCUUUCCCCCUUCAAUUCCACUGUUACUGCAUCACCCAUAUGCCACACUCCUGGAACUCUGCAACAGCUAAUUUUUAGCCUCUUCUUUUCUAAUCCGUCCUGUAUGCCAUAGGAAUUAAGACAAGGUUGUUUAGACUGGGGAAAAACGAAUGCUUGGUCAAUAUCCAAAGGUUAACCAUUCUUUGCAUUUAUUUUAUUUGUGUAGUAGGGAUUUGCCUUUGCAUUUGAUUGUUUUUGAAGUUGUUUUUAACAGUUCAGUGAACUCUGAGUAGAACUAUGAACAAUGUAAUUAUUUUGUCUGCUUUAUUAGAGAUGCUUUUGUAAUCAUGUUAAUUAUAUUUAACUAAAUAAGGCUUGCAUCUCUUUAUAACUGAUGUUUAUACCUUCUGUAAGAUAAAUAUAAAGCCUUUUUGUUCACGUUUUUAUGUUCUUGAGGACUUGCUGUACGAUUGCAGGGAGUUUAAAAAAAAAGUGGAGUGCGUUUGUAUUAUUAGUCUGAUCUUAAUGUUGUAACGUAUUGAUCAUGCAAAAUAUAUAAUUGUUUUUUUAUUUAACAUAUGCAGGACUGUAACAACACAAACUAGAGAAGAUGACAUAAGGUACAAAAAAGCAAGUAAGUUAGUAUCUAAUAAAAAUGUUUGGUUCUAAUAUUAGUGGAGUUCUCUGGAAAGUAAGUUGACUUCCUCAAUACGUUUUUGUCUCCUUUUUCCAAAAAUUUCCCUCAACUCUGGUAUAUGUUGAAUAAUAUUCUUUAUUUUAAGAGUUUAAUUUGAAAACAAAUGUUAUCUUUUUUCAACUAAAAUAUGAAAUCUGAAUCUAAUAAUUCCUCUCUCUCUCUCUCUCUUUUUUUUUUUUUUUG
Equus quagga is the source of this 2661-nucleotide long non-coding RNA. RefSeq lists it as uncharacterized. The transcript is spliced from 6 exons. Lineage: Eukaryota; Metazoa; Chordata; Mammalia; Perissodactyla; Equidae. The record is from RefSeq and is a predicted model, not a curated record.